Molecule: small RNA, 166 nt
Filed under: uncultured Merdimonas sp.
Lineage: Bacteria; Bacillati; Bacillota; Clostridia; Lachnospirales; Lachnospiraceae
Description: Clostridiales-1 RNA
Rfam family: Clostridiales-1 RNA
Source: RNAcentral
GAUGCCAGGGGCAAAAGGUCUAAACCCACUUGAGCUUGCUCAUAAGUGGGUGCUGGACCUUGGGACCCACCCCGAUAUGAGCAUAAGAGUGGGAUGUGUAUCCCACGAUAUGCGAAUAUUGGGUAGGAUUGUGGGAGUGCGCAGCACGGAACAAUCCGCAGGCAUC